GGCGGCGUACCCAAGUGGUUAAGGGAGAGGUCUGCAAAACCUCCAUGCAUCGGUUCGAAUCCGAUCGCCGCCUCCA
This 76-nucleotide transfer RNA is filed under the name bacterium. RNAcentral describes it as "tRNA-Cys". It matches the Rfam family "tRNA". From Rfam's summary of the family: Transfer RNA (tRNA) molecules are approximately 80 nucleotides in length. Their secondary structure includes four short double-helical elements and three loops (D, anti-codon, and T loops). RNAcentral also lists the same sequence under 10 other names. The record is from RNAcentral.